GCCCGCGGGCCCAGAGCUGACUCCGCGCCAGGCCGGUGGGGGCCGCCUGGGAAGCGCCAGCCCCCACGUGACAGCCGCUCUGGCCGGCGGCCACCGGGCCCUCCUGUGAGCAGCCUUGUCCGGGAGGGAGGCGGGGCCUGGGCGUGGGUGGGGCCCCCAGGGAGCCCGUGCCAGGUCCGCCGCCCUGGGGGUGGGGGCGUCCCUGAGGAGGGGCCCAGGAGCGCCUCAUUCUCCCCUCCCUUCCUUCCUCACACCCUCCCUCCCCUCACCCUCCCUCUGUGUCUCUCCCUCUCCUGUUCCCUUUCAGUCUCCCUGCUCUCUCCAUCCCUCCUUCCUCUGACCCCCACGUCCCUCCCCCAGGACCUGCCUGGGCACUGGGUGGGGGAGGGGAAGUGCCCACUGCCCCCCACACCCCUCCCCCAGGACCUGCCUGGACCACUGGGUGGGGGAGUGCCCACUGCCCCCCACACCCCUCCCCCCAGGACCUGCCUGGGCACUGGGUGGGGGAGUGCCCACUGUCCCCCCCCACCCCUCCCUCAGGACCUGCCUGGACCACUGGGUGGGUGGGGGGUGCCCCUUUUGCACACAAGCCCCCUGUCUGCUUCAGAAGAGGAGCCGGUGGAGGGGGCCUGGGGCUGCUGUGCCCCGCCCCUCCCCUCCCCCACCAGCCCCACCCCACAGCCUCCGACUGCUGCUCGGGGUCCCAGCCGCUUGCUCCUGGCCCCGGGAGAGCAGGGAGCCAGGCUGGUGGUCUCAGCCGCGUUCCUGGCCCAGCCGGCUGGGGGGGCGGCCCCUUGCUUGCUGGGCCCUCCAUCGGUCGGGCUCCCUCCAAGAGCCACCUGCUCCAGCCCCUCCCCUGCAGCGGGCUGGUCUCAGAGCCCCGGGCAGCCGCCCCGUGUCCCCGCUUCAAGGAGUCAUUUUCCUCCUAAGUACCAGAGUCCUGCUGAGGCCCGCGGCCCGAGCCAGGUGUCUGGGCGCUUCACUUACUGGGGCGUUGGGAACAUACGCUAGCCGGUUGGUAAAGACCAGCUGGUGCGGGGCUCGGGAGUCCAAGG
Molecule: long non-coding RNA, 1055 nt
Filed under: Oryctolagus cuniculus (rabbit)
Lineage: Eukaryota; Metazoa; Chordata; Mammalia; Lagomorpha; Leporidae
Description: lncRNA (ENSOCUG00000038480.1)
Source: RNAcentral